RNAcentral lists this ribosomal RNA (662 nucleotides) under uncultured fungus. RNAcentral describes it as "eukaryotic LSU rRNA". The record is from RNAcentral. Lineage: Eukaryota; Fungi.
AGGUUUCCGUAGGUGAACCUGCGGAAGGAUCAUUACCGAAUUGUCAACACGAGUUGUUGCUGGUCCUCAAAUGGGGGCAYGUGCACGCUCUGUUUACACAUCCACUCACACCUGUGCACCUUCUGUAGUUCCAUGGCAUGGGGGACUCUGUCCUCCCGUUGUGGUCCUACGUCUUUACACACACCCUGUAACAAAGUCUUGUGGAAUGCAUAUGACGCGUUUAACGCAAUACAAUACAACUUUCAGCAACGGAUCUCUUGGCUCUCGCAUCGAUGAAGAACGCAGCGAAAUGCGAUAAGUAAUGUGAAUUGCAGAAUUCAGUGAAUCAUCGAAUCUUUGAACGCACCUUGCGCCCUUUGGCCAUUCCGAAGGGCAUGCCUGUUUGAGUAUCGUGAACACCUCAACUCUCAUGGUUUGCCAUGAUGAGCUUGGACUUUGGGGGUCUUGCUGGCCUGUGGUCGGCUCCUCUCAAACGGAUCAGCUUGCCAGUGUUUGGUGGCACCAUGGGUGUGAUAACUAUCUACRCUUGUGGUUUCCCACCAGAUAACCUUCAGCGAUGGAGGUUCACUGGAGCUCAUAAAUGUCUCUCCUCAGUGAAGACAGCUCUUUGAACGUUUGAUCUCAAAUCAGGUAGGACUACCCGCUGAACUUAAGCAUAUCAA